UUUCUUUUCUCUCUUUUUUUUUUCGUUUUUCUUUUUCCUUCUUCUUUUUUUUUUUUUUUUUUUUUUUUUUUUUUUUUUUUUUUUUUUUUUUUUUUUUUUUUUUUUUUUUUUUUUUUUUUUUUUUUUUUUUUUUUUUUUUUUUUUUUUUUUAGGCUGGGGGCCAAGACUUUUCAAAACUUGAGCUAGAGGCUUCUAUACUGGUCCCAAUAAAACAAUUCACUUAAGCACAAAGAGUCUAUUCUUUUCCUUUUUCAUUUCUCCCAAAUCAUAAUCACAACACUCACCCCCACCUAUAGCUAGACAAUAGAGUGUCCAAUCUAGCAAGAAUGAAGAUCAAGCAUUGUCGUUCCCGAUACUCUCAACAUUAUGCACAUGUAAGACUUUCCGAAAAAGGCCUCACUCAUCAAACAAUGAAAGCUUAAAAGGAGGAAAAGGUUUUGGGAGUGGUCUACCACUAGAGUUUGUCAAAAAAGAUUGGUAUAAAAGAUGUGACAACUCAAGUGUGUAUAGCCAUGACUCAGUACACAAGGGACCAUGAGCAAGAAGCAUUAAGUUCGUUCAGUUCAAAUA
This 570-nucleotide long non-coding RNA is filed under the name Brassica napus (rape). RNAcentral describes it as "long non-coding RNA (BNAP_LNC004480)". The record is from RNAcentral. Lineage: Eukaryota; Viridiplantae; Streptophyta; Magnoliopsida; Brassicales; Brassicaceae.